Molecule: RNase P RNA, 365 nt
Filed under: Deltaproteobacteria bacterium
Lineage: Bacteria; Pseudomonadati; Myxococcota; Myxococcia
Description: RNase P RNA component class A
Rfam family: Bacterial RNase P class A
About the family: Ribonuclease P (RNase P) is a ubiquitous endoribonuclease, found in archaea, bacteria and eukarya as well as chloroplasts and mitochondria.
Source: RNAcentral
AAAGUGGAUCAAGCGAUCGCUUCUGCCUUUGGCAGAGGAGGAAAGUCCGGACUCCGCAGGACAGGGUGGCCGUUAACGGCGGCCCCGAGCGAUCGGGGGAAAGUACCACAGAAAACAUACCGCCUUGCCGCUUCGGCGGCGGGUAAGGUUGAAAUGGCGAGGUAAGAGCUCACCGGUUCGCCAGUGAUGGCGAACGCAUGGCAAACCCCACCUGGAGCAAGGCCAAAUAGGAGGGCUGGGUGGUCCGCCCUUAGCCCUCGGGUAUGGUCGCUCGACUCCUCGAGCAAUCGAGGAGCAAGAUGAAUGAUCGCUGUGGUUCCGCUUAAGAACCACAACAGAAUCCGGCUUAUCGAUCCACUCUAGCC